CCUACGGGUGGCAGCAGUGGGGGAUAUUGCACAAUGGGGGAAACCCUGCUGCAGCGACGCCGCGUGAGUGAAGAAGUAUUUCGGUAGGUAAAGCUCUAUCAGCAGGGACGAAAAUGACAGUACCUGACCAAGAAGCCCCGGCUAACUACGUGCCAGCAGCCGCGGGAAGACGUUGGGGGUAAGCGUUAUCAUGAUUUACUGGGGGUAAAGGGAGCGUAGACGGUUAUGUCAGUCUGGAGUGAAAGCCCGGGGCCCAACCCCGGGAGUGCUUUGGAAACUGGGGAACUGGAGUACAGGAGGGGCAGGCGGAAGUCCUGGUGUAGCGGUGAAAUGCGUAGAUAUCAGGAGGAACACCGGCGGCGAAGGCGGCCUGCUGGACUGAAACUGACGUUGAGGCUCGAAAGCGUGGGGAGCAAACAGGAUUAGAUACCCUGGUAGGC
This 440-nucleotide ribosomal RNA is filed under the name uncultured bacterium. Its description in RNAcentral is "partial 16S ribosomal RNA". It matches the Rfam family "Bacterial small subunit ribosomal RNA", at positions 338 to 795 of the family's 1533-position model. The record is from RNAcentral.